ACGGCGAGUGAAGCGGCAACAGCUCAAAUUUGAAAUCUGGCGUCUUUGGCGUCCGAGUUGUAAUUUGCAGAGGGCGCUUUGGCAUUGGCAGCGGUCCAAGUUCCUUGGAACAGGACGUCACAGAGGGUGAGAAUCCCGUACGUGGUCGCUAGCCUUUACCGUGUAAAGCCCCUUCGACGAGUCGAGUUGUUUGGGAAUGCAGCUCUAAAUGGGAGGUAAAUUUCUUCUAAAGCUAAAUACUGGCCAGAGACCGAUAGCGCACAAGUAGAGUGAUCGAAAGAUGAAAAGCACUUUGGAAAGAGAGUUAAAAAGCACGUGAAAUUGUUGAAAGGGAAGCGCUUGCAGCCAGACUUGCCUGUAGUUGCUCAUCCGGGUUUCUACCCGGUGCACUCUUCUAUAGGCAGGCCAGCAUCAGUUUGGGCGGUUGGAUAAAGGUCUCUGUCAUGUACCUCUCUUCGGGGAGAACUUAUAGGGGAGACGACAUGCAACCAGCCUGGACUGAGGUCCGCGCAUCUGCUAGGAUGCUGGCGUAAUGGCUGUAAGCGGCCCGUCUUGAAACACGGACCAAGGAGUCUAACAUCUAUGCGAGUGUUUGGGUGUCAAGCCCGAGCGCGUAAUGAAAGUGAACGGAGGUGGGAACCUUUCGGGGUGCACCAUCGACCGAUCCUGAUGUCUUCGGAUGGAUUUGAGUAAGAGCAUAGCUGUUGGGACCCGAAAGAUGGUGAACUAUGCUUGAAUAGGGUGAAGCCAGAGGAAACUCUGGUGGAGGCUCGCAGCGGUUCUGACGUGCAAAUCGAUCGUCAAAUUUGGGCAUAGGGGCGAAAGACUAAUCGAACUAUCUAGUAGCUGGUUCCUGCCGAAGUUUCCCUCAGGAUAGCAG
This 880-nucleotide ribosomal RNA is filed under the name Ascochyta pisi. RNAcentral's name for it is "eukaryotic LSU rRNA". It matches the Rfam family "Eukaryotic large subunit ribosomal RNA", at positions 86 to 984 of the family's 3401-position model. Lineage: Eukaryota; Fungi; Ascomycota; Dothideomycetes; Pleosporales; Didymellaceae. The record is from RNAcentral.